RNAcentral lists this unclassified non-coding RNA (289 nucleotides) under Melanophyllum haematospermum. RNAcentral describes it as "partial internal transcribed spacer region". The stretch from base 1 to 46 matches the Rfam family "Eukaryotic small subunit ribosomal RNA", at positions 1786 to 1831 of the family's 1831-position model. The record is from RNAcentral. Lineage: Eukaryota; Fungi; Basidiomycota; Agaricomycetes; Agaricales; Agaricaceae.
AAGUCGUAACAAGGUUUCCGUAGGUGAACCUGCGGAAGGAUCAUUACAGAAUAAACUUGGUGGGUUGUAGCUGGCUCCCUUGGAGCAUGUGCACGCUCAUCACCUUUAUCCAUCCACCUGUGCACAAUUUGUAGUCUUGAGGGAACUGAAAGCGGACUGAUGUCUGUGAUCAUUCUUUUGAGUCUAUGUGUCUUCAUAUACUACCAUAGCAUGUCACAGAAUGUAUUUAAUGGGCUUCAUGCCUAUAAAAACUUUAUUACAACUUUCAGCAACGGAUCUCUUGGCUCUC